UGGGGAAUAUUGCACAAUGGGCGAAAGCCUGAUGCAGCAACGCCGCGUGAGUGAUGAAGGCCUUCGGGUUGUAAAGCUCUGUCUUCUGGGACGAUAAUGACGGUACCAGAGGAGGAAGCCACGGCUAACUACGUGCCAGCAGCCGCGGUAAUACGUAGGCAGCAAGCGUUGUUCGGAGUUACUGGGCGUAAAGAGUGCGUAGGCGGUUUUCUAAGUUCGGUGUGAAAUCUCCCGGCUUAACUGGGAGGGUGCGCCGAAGACUGGGAAGCUGGAGUGUGGGAAAGGCAGGCGGAAUUCCUGGUGUAGCGGUGAAAUGCGUAGAUAUCAGGAGGAACACCGGCGGUGUAGACGGCUUGCUAGACCAUAACUGACGCUGAGGCACGAAAGCGUGGGUAGCAAACA
This 402-nucleotide ribosomal RNA is filed under the name uncultured bacterium. RNAcentral describes it as "bacterial SSU rRNA". It matches the Rfam family "Bacterial small subunit ribosomal RNA", at positions 355 to 774 of the family's 1533-position model. The record is from RNAcentral.